Molecule: ribosomal RNA, 253 nt
Filed under: uncultured bacterium
Lineage: Bacteria
Description: partial 16S ribosomal RNA
Rfam family: Bacterial small subunit ribosomal RNA
Source: RNAcentral
UACGUAGGGCGCAAGCGUUAUCCGGAAUUAUUGGGCGUAAAGAGCUCGUAGGCGGUUUGUCGCGUCUGCCGUGAAAGUCCGGGGCUCAACUCCGGAUCUGCGGUGGGUACGGGCAGACUAGAGUGCAGUAGGGGAGACUGGAAUUCCUGGUGUAGCGGUGGAAUGCGCAGAUAUCAGGAGGAACACCGGUGGCGAAGGCGGGUCUCUGGGCCGUUACUGACACUGAGAGACGAAAGCGUGGGGAGCGAACAGG